Molecule: long non-coding RNA, 2466 nt
Filed under: Canis lupus familiaris (dog)
Lineage: Eukaryota; Metazoa; Chordata; Mammalia; Carnivora; Canidae
Description: lncRNA (ENSCAFG00000050148.1)
Source: RNAcentral
UUCAUGAGAGGCAGAGAGAGAGAGGCAGAGACACAGGCAGGGGGAGAAGCAGGCUCCAUGCUGGGAGCCUGACGUGGGACCAUCCUGGGUCUCCAGGACCAAGCCCUGGGCUGAAGCCGGUGCUAAACCGCUGGGCCACCCGGGCUGCCCAACCAGGUUAUUUUUGCUUGGUUUCAGAAUUGUUUAACAUAAGUACGGGAGAGUAUGUCUAGUGUCUAGUUCUACUAUUAUUCAAGAUAGGGACAGGUAAUUAUAUUGCUUUCAGUUUUCAAAGCUUGUUCUUUUCUGGGUGCCUGGCUGGCUCAGUAGGAAGAGCAUACGACUAAUGAUCUUAGGGUCAUGAGUGUGAGCUCCAUGUUGGGUGAUGAUAUUACCAAAAAAAAUAAUAAACUUAAAAAAAAGCUUUUUCUUUCAUCUAGCAAUUUCUAUACUAGAAAUUUAUAAUAUGACUUUAUAAGACAAAUAUGCAAAGUAUAUCUACAGAGACAGUUUUUUUUUUUAAGAGUUUAUUUAUUUAUUUGAGAGAGAGAGAGAGAGAGAGCAUAAGAAGGAGCACAGGAGAGGGAGAGGGAGAAGGCUCCUGAUUGAGCAGGGAGCCCAACAGGGGGCUUGAUCCUGGGACUCUGGAAUCAUGACCUGAGCUGAAGGCAGACACUUAAACAACUGAGCCACCCUGGUGCGUCCCGCCUUUUUUUCAAGAAAAGGAACAGGUCAGAAACAGCUUUGAUGAAUGGAUAAGUAAAUUACAGGUAUCCACAAAAUAGAUUACAAUGCAACUAUAAAAAAUGUAUCUUUGUGGCAUCUAGGUGGUUCCAUCAGUUAAACAUCUGACUCGAUUUCGGCUCAGGUCAUGAUCUCAGGGCUGUGGGAUCAAGCCUAGUGUUGGGCUCUGUGCUGGGCGUGGAGCCUUUUAAAGAUUCUCUCUCUCUCUCUGUGCCCCCCCCUUCACUCUCACACCCCUAUUCAUGCUCUCCUCCCUGCAUGUUCUCUGUCUAUCUCAAAAAAAGAAAGAAAGAAAGGAGAAGACAAGACUGAAAAGGCAGGUACAGACAAGAUUAGGGGCACUUGACUGGUGGGGGAGGGGAGAGGGGGUUAAGUCUGGGUUUUAAUGCAGUAAGGACUGAGGAGCCAUUAAAAGAAUUGAUUGAUAAGGUAACAUAAUCUGAGUUUCUCUGAGUUAUGAUGUGAAAAUUACAUACAUAGGUAUAUAAAACUCUCAUUUUCCCCCAAUGAACUUUUUUUUUUUUUUUUUAAAGAUUUAUUUAUUCAUGAGAGACACAGAGAGAGAGAGGCAGAGACACAGGCAGAGGGAGAAGCAGGCUCCAUGCAGGGAGCCCGAGGUGGGACUCGAUCCCGGGUCUCCAGGAUCACGCCCUGGGCCAAAGGCAGGCGCUAAACCGCUGCGCCACCCAGGAAUCCCCCCAAUGAACUUUUCUAACACAGCUCCUCCCAAUUUUCUUCUUUCCUCUAUAAAAGGAUGCUCUCUCCUUUUGUUCUCUGGACUUGCCUGUAGUUCACCAUAGUUGGCCCAAAUUGCAAUUCCUCUGCUAUUUCUGAAUAAACUCAUUUGCAGCUUGAUCACAGUUGUUGUUUAAUUUUUAAGGAUGACUUUAGAAGGAUCAUUUCCAUUGUAACACUGAAUGGAGGUUGAAGGAGCAAAGGACCAGAGCCAUUGAGAGCAGCAAUUAUGGCAAGGACUUGCAGUUCUGAGAAUUGAUACCAAAGCAGCAUAAUAAUCAAGCACCUGGUGUUUGAACCUUCUAAGGGAGGUUACUGAAGGGUCAAAAGGAUGUGGCUCAUCUGGCGCUUAAAAAACCCUGAGGCUCACAUGCAUAAAAUCAGCUCAUAACACUCCCCUAGUGUCAGAAAGGUACACAUGUGCCCUUAGGCCUGCUUUUGAUUUUUUUCUAUUUUUUGAUCUCUUCCACUUAUAUUUGCCAGCUUAAAAAUGCCCUAGAUGUUUGGUUGUCAACUUAUAAAAAUGUUGAGAAUUUGUACAGAAAGGGGAGGUGAGUGACUUGCACCAGGCCACAAAGCAGGUUCUGAUCACAAGUGUCUGUAUAUGAAGCAGUAAAGAAACAAAGUAUCAAGAUGUUUAGUGGUAGGCAUACAAACAGGACAGGAGAGGUAGAAAAAAGUAAGUAGGGUUUAGUGAUUCUCACAUGUAGGAAUUAGGAGCUUGAGAGAUAAAAAUGAUUCUCUGAGUUUUUUUUUCAUUUCGAUGUUUGAGAGAUUAGUUUUAUAAGUUGGUAGAGCAGCAGUUUGGGGGGUUCCAUUAGGAAGUUAAGAAAGAUCAUGUUUAGAUAUAUGUUGAGGACAAUAUUGCCAGAUAUUAAAGUGAUACUGUUCAAAUGAGAGUUAAAAAUUCACAACCCCGGCUGAGUUUAUGAUAUUAUGAUGUCAUGUGGAUGCAGGGAUGGAUGAAAUCACCGAGAAGUUUAUACAGUAAUAUGUGAAAGUUGACUG